UGCAGUCGAACGGUAGCACAGAGAGCUUGCUCUCGGGUGACGAGUGGCGGACGGGUGAGUAAUGUCUGGGAAACUGCCUGAUGGAGGGGGAUAACUACUGGAAACGGUAGCUAAUACCGCAUAACGUCUUCGGACCAAAGUGGGGGACCUUCGGGCCUCACACCAUCGGAUGUGCCCAGAUGGGAUUAGCUAGUAGGUGGGGUAAUGGCUCACCUAGGCGACGAUCCCUAGCUGGUCUGAGAGGAUGACCAGCCACACUGGAACUGAGACACGGUCCAGACUCCUACGGGAGGCAGCAGUGGGGAAUAUUGCACAAUGGGCGCAAGCCUGAUGCAGCCAUGCCGCGUGUAUGAAGAAGGCCUUCGGGUUGUAAAGUACUUUCAGCGGGGAGGAAGGCGAUAAGGUUAAUAACCUUAUCGAUUGACGUUACCCGCAGAAGAAGCACCGGCUAACUCCGUGCCAGCAGCCGCGGUAAUACGGAGGGUGCAAGCGUUAAUCGGAAUUACUGGGCGUAGAGCGCACGCAGGCGGUCUGUCAAGUCAGAUGUGAAAUCCCCGGGCUUAACCUGGGAACUGCAUUUGAAACUGGCAGGCUAGAGUCUUGUAGAGGGGGGUAGAAUUCCAGGUGUAGCGGUGAAAUGCGUAGAGAUCUGGAGGAAUACCGGUGGCGAACGCGGCCCCCUGGACAAAGACUGACGCUCACGUGCGAAAGCGUGUGGAGCAAACAGGAUUACAUACCCUGGUAGUCCACGCCGUAAACGAUGUCGACUUGGAGGUUGUG
This 780-nucleotide ribosomal RNA is filed under the name Erwinia sp. RNAcentral's name for it is "bacterial SSU rRNA". It matches the Rfam family "Bacterial small subunit ribosomal RNA", at positions 56 to 828 of the family's 1533-position model. Lineage: Bacteria; Pseudomonadati; Pseudomonadota; Gammaproteobacteria; Enterobacterales; Erwiniaceae. The record is from RNAcentral.